RNAcentral lists this ribosomal RNA (406 nucleotides) under uncultured bacterium. RNAcentral's name for it is "partial 16S ribosomal RNA". It matches the Rfam family "Bacterial small subunit ribosomal RNA", at positions 28 to 526 of the family's 1533-position model. The record is from RNAcentral.
GAUGAACGCUAGCUACAGGCUUAACACAUGCAAGUCGAGGGACCGGCGCACGGGUGAGUAACACGUAUCCAACCUGCCCUUUACUCGGGGAUAGCCUUUCGAAAGAAAGAUUAAUACCCGAUAUAAAGGCUGGGGAUGCGUUCCAUUAGGUUGUUGGUGAGGUAACGGCUCACCAAGCCUUCGAUGGAUAGUGGUUCUGGGAGGAAGGGCCCCCACAUUGGAACUGAGACAAGGUCCAAACGCCUACCGGAAGCAGGAAUGAGGAAUAAUUGGCAAUGGGCCUUAGCCUGAAACCGCCAAGGAGCGUUGAGGAUGAAGGCUCAUGGGUCGUAAACUUUCUUUAUAUAAGAAUAGGUAUUAUAUGAAUAAGGAUCGGCUAACUCCGUGCCAGCAGCCGCGGUAAUUC